RNAcentral lists this ribosomal RNA (305 nucleotides) under uncultured bacterium. RNAcentral describes it as "bacterial SSU rRNA". It matches the Rfam family "Bacterial small subunit ribosomal RNA", at positions 337 to 659 of the family's 1533-position model. The record is from RNAcentral.
GCCUACGGGAGGCAGCAGUGGGGAAUAUUGCACAAUGGGGGAAACCCUGAUGCAGCGACGCCGCGUGAAGGAUGAAGUAUUUCGGUAUGUAAACUUCUAUCAGCAGGGAAGAAAAUGACGGUACCUGACUAAGAAGCCCCGGCUAACUACGUGCCAGCAGCCGCGGUAAUACGUAGGGGGCAAGCGUUAUCCGGAUUUACUGGGUGUAAAGGGAGCGUAGACGGCAUGGCGAGUCUGAUGUGAAAACCCGGGGCCCAACCCCGGGACUGCAUUGGAAACUGUCAGGCUAGAGUGUCGGAGAGGCA